Molecule: ribosomal RNA, 434 nt
Filed under: uncultured bacterium
Lineage: Bacteria
Description: bacterial SSU rRNA
Rfam family: Bacterial small subunit ribosomal RNA
Source: RNAcentral
AAUCAACGCUGGCGGCGUGCCUCAGACAUGCAAGUCGAACGAUUAAACUUUCCUUCGGGAAAGAUAUAAAGUGGCGCACGGGUGAGUAACACGUAAGUAAUCUACCUUCGAGUGGGGAAUAACGUCCGGAAACGGACGCUAAUACCGCAUAAUGCAGCGGCAUCGCAAGAUGACAGUUGUUAAAGGAAUUUAUUUCGCUUGAAGAGGAGCUUGCGGCAGAUUAGCUUGUUGGAAGGUAACGGCUUACCAAGGCUACGAUCUGUAACCGGUCUAAGAGGACGGUCGGUCACACUGACACUGAAUAACGGGUCAGACUCCUACGGGAGGCAGCAGUCGGGAAUUUUGGCAAUGGGCAAAGCCUGACCCAGCAACGCCGCGUGAAGGAUGAAGUAUUUCGGUAUGUAAACUUCGAAAGAAUAGGAAGAAUAAAUGAC